RNAcentral lists this long non-coding RNA (2113 nucleotides) under Marmota monax (woodchuck). The record is from RNAcentral. Lineage: Eukaryota; Metazoa; Chordata; Mammalia; Rodentia; Sciuridae.
GAACUCUUUAUGCUUUAUAAUAAACACAUUGUCUGCAUAGUUGUGGGACCACUAUAUUCACACAAGAGAGGAAAAAUAAACUUAAUGUUGGUUAAACCAGAUGAUGAAGGAAAUAAAGAGGCACCAGUUUCCCACAUGGGUAUGAAUCACAUAUCUAUGUAUAUUAGCUGUUAUUGUAAACACUAUAUCUGAGCUAAUUAGGUAAGAAAACUCUCUCGGAUGAGCAAAAAAUAUAGCUUCCCCCAGAAUCUCAACACAAUAUCGAACUUGUUAAUUAUAAGGUAAAUGAAGGACAGGAAACAUAUUUAUAAUAAAAUGGAUUCAAUGAUUCUGAUAUAAUUCACUCAAGAUAUCUGCUGCCAUAUUUCCAAUUCAGCUUUGACAUUGAACUUCUAACGGUCCUUCUCACCUCCUCUGAAUACAGAUCACUGUGCUCUCCAGCAUUAUGCAUCUUGAAUUGUUGAAUAUAUUAAUAUUUUUGUAUAAAUGGUCAUUGCAAAAUUGAUUUUACCUUUGAAAAUUUAACUGCAAAUUUUUCUAAACACAUAUUUAUGAUUUUGAUUUAGUACCUUUGAGUCUUGUGGCUUUACUCAACACAUAUGUAAUUUAUUUUACUCCUUUCCUAUAAAAUAGAUCCAUUAUUUGCUGGAGAACAGUUUUUCCCAGAAAUUUUGAGUAAGAGUUGUAAAUCGAGAAUAUACUUGCAAAUACCAAUGAAAUGUUUGCUCAUAUUUCUGUGACAUGUUUUGGUUGUUUAUCAUUCUUCUCAAUGAUGUGCACCGAAUGAGAUGCUUUUGCAUGCUAAGCAGUUGCUCUACAACUGAGCGUCUACCACAGAUCUUUCUGAUCCUCUGUGGGCUUUGUACAUACAUAUUUCAGGUUCCUACAUGAGUUUUCUCAAUGUAGAAAGAUUAAAAUAUGUCCUAAUAAUUUUAUUAUAACCAAGCCUUCUUUUUUUAGCCAGGUACAUAUUUUUUUCCUACUCCAUGUCUUCAUUUUGUGGUAUUCUAGAGAUUGUUUAAAAUAUAUAUUUCAUUUAUAGAUGAUAAACAUUUUUCUUUAAGGUUUGGUUGUUGUUGAAGUAUGUUCCCUCCCCCUGAAAGAGAUACUGGUGAGUGAAAUAGCAUGUAGAACAUGCUCAUUUGUGGACAAGGUGCUGAGAUAUAACCCCUGCCCAGGACACAUCCAAAGGAAAAAUUUGCAUGCUACAAGGUUCCACAUGUAACCAAGGAAGGGAAAUCCAUCCAAAUGCAUGGAAAUCCUCAACCUAUGAACAUCAACAUCAUGAGAAAAGAAGGCAAAAACACACCACCAAAAUUUCCAAAUAACUGCAUCCACUAAAGAUAAAACAUAAAUAUGGUUUAAAAUCCAUGAGAGAGGUAAGAUGAAUAUGUUUAAUAAUUGUAUUGAUUUCUUGCAUGGGAAGGAUAUAUAAUAGGGAGAUAUUCUUUGUACCCUAACAGAACAGGACCCAUCAUGAAUGGUUCAUAUUCCAUUAACAGGUAAUUUGUGUUGAUUUCAUUCUAUUGCUCCCUUGAUCUAAAAAUUCUAGUCCAAGGAGAAUUAUGUCUUAAACAUUGGCAUGGGUGAUAGGUAAUGAGAAACAAAAAUCUUGAGCCUUUAGGAAUGAUGGUCUUUUCACAUAAACGAGUUCUGUGAUCAUUGAAGUUUUGUAUGUUCCUUGUUUCAACCCAUUAUUUCUGGGUCUCCAGUUUAUCACAUUAAAGAAUGUCACACAAAUGAAAACAAUUGUUAUUCAAAAAUAUUGGCUCAACUGCUAGCGUAAAGUUUAUUUUUAAGCUGCCAUGGCUUCUAAUACUACUUUCAUGUUCAUGAACAGUUAAAUUCUUUUAAAUAUUAAAUUACAAUAUUUAGGUCCCUAAAGAGUAUUCUAUGAGGUCAAUUCAUUUGUUGUCAUUUACCUUCUAGAAGCAAAAAAAAAAGAAAGAAAGAAAAGAAAAAGAAAGAAGUAAUCUGGGAAGUUUAAAUUGGCACGUGUACAUACCUGUUGCAAGCUAUUAUCAGUGCCAUUAUGCCUCUGUUGCUCUUCCUCUGAUGGCACAUCAAAAUGUGACUCUGGUGACAAAUGCACAGAUUUAAACUACUUAAAAAU